CGCGGAGUGGAGCAGCUGGUAGCUCGUUGGGAUCAUAGCCCAAAGGUCAUUCGUUCGAUUCUAUCACCGGGCGCAA
Molecule: transfer RNA, 76 nt
Filed under: Bacteroides phage LoVEphage
Lineage: Duplodnaviria; Heunggongvirae; Uroviricota; Caudoviricetes
Description: tRNA-Met
Source: RNAcentral